GACGAACGCUGGCGGCGUGCUUAACACAUGCAAGUCGAACGGAAAGGCCCUGCUUUUGUGGUGUGCUCGAGUGGCGAACGGGUGAGUAACACGUGAGUAACCUGCCCUUGACUUUGGUAUAACUUCAGGAAACUGGGGCUAAUACCGGAUAGGAGCUCCUGCUGCAUGGUGGGGGUUGGAAAGUUUCGGCGGUUGGGGAUGGACUCGCGGCUUAUCCGCUUGUUGGUGGGGUAGUGGCUUACCAAGGCUUUGACGGGUAGCCGGCCUGAGAGGGUGACCGGCCACAUUGGGACUGAGAUACGGCCCAGACUCCUACGGGAGGCAGCAGUGGGGAAUAUUGCACAAUGGGCGGAAGCCUGAGGCAGCAACGCCGCGUGCGGGAUGACGGCCUGCGGGUUGUAAACCGCUUUCGCCUGUGACGAAGCGUGAGUGACGGUAAUGGGUAAAGAAGCACCGGCUAACUACGUG
RNAcentral lists this ribosomal RNA (468 nucleotides) under uncultured bacterium. Its description in RNAcentral is "partial 16S ribosomal RNA". It matches the Rfam family "Bacterial small subunit ribosomal RNA", at positions 28 to 507 of the family's 1533-position model. The record is from RNAcentral.